CUACGGGAUGCAGCAGUGAGGAAUAUUGCACAAUGGGGGGAACCCUGAUGCAGCAACGCCGCGUGGGGGAUGACGCAUUUCGGUGUGUAAACUCCUUUUAUAUGUCAAGAAGAUGACGGUAGCAUAUGAAUAAGCACCGGCUAACUCCGUGCCAGCAGCCGCGGUAAUACGGAGGGUGCAAGCGUUACUCGGAAUCACUGGGCGUAAAGGACGCGUAGGCGGGUUGGAAAGUCAGGUGUGAAAUCCUACAGCUUAACUGUAGAACUGCACUUGAAACUUCUAAUCUAGAGUAUGGGAGGGGGAGAUGGAAUUAGUGGUGUAGGGGUAAAAUCCGUAGAUAUCACUAGGAAUACCUAAAGCGAAGGCGAUCUCCUGGAACAUUACUGACGCUAAGGCGUGAAAGCGUGGGGAGCAAACAGGAUUAGAUACCCCGGUAGUC
RNAcentral lists this ribosomal RNA (439 nucleotides) under uncultured bacterium. Its description in RNAcentral is "partial 16S ribosomal RNA". It matches the Rfam family "Bacterial small subunit ribosomal RNA", at positions 339 to 795 of the family's 1533-position model. The record is from RNAcentral.